GUUCUUAUAGUUGAGGAGUCAACGAUGGUUUUUCAGGCCAUAGACCUUGGGUAGGACCCAAGUAAGAAUUU
This 71-nucleotide transfer RNA is filed under the name Myiopsitta monachus (monk parakeet). Its description in RNAcentral is "tRNA-Glu". Lineage: Eukaryota; Metazoa; Chordata; Aves; Psittaciformes; Psittacidae. The record is from RNAcentral.